Molecule: long non-coding RNA, 473 nt
Filed under: Brassica napus (rape)
Lineage: Eukaryota; Viridiplantae; Streptophyta; Magnoliopsida; Brassicales; Brassicaceae
Description: long non-coding RNA (BNAP_LNC014516)
Source: RNAcentral
UUUAAGAUUGUGUGAUUAUUCAUUUAUUAUAAGAGUAAAAUCAAAGAUUUUGUGAUUGUUUUAAUAUUUUGGAUUCUAAAUUGAUGUAGUUCCUUUAUUAUAGUCCUGGAAAUCACAUUAGGAAAACAAUGUAGUUCGUUUGAGUUACUAAUAAUUUGUUUCCUUCUUUGUACUUCGUUUGAGUUAUUUUAGGAAAACAAUGAAUAUGUGGAAAAUAAAAUCAUUUUUAAUGUGAGAUUAAUUUAAUUCUCAAUGGUAUUUACCUGUAAAUAUAGUGUAAUUUUUAGGGUUAUUCCAUAAGUGUACUCAUGUUUUAAGAGGUUGAUUGUUUGUGGUUUUUGUUUUAGUUUUUGGUUUUUGCUUUUGUAAAAACCAUGUUUUAUCCAAUCAAGUUUUAGUUUUUAGUUUUUGUUUUUGCAAAAACCAUUUCAAUUGUCAAUCAAGUUUUUUAACAAAUAGAUUCCCUAAAAUUU